Molecule: ribosomal RNA, 386 nt
Filed under: uncultured organism
Description: bacterial SSU rRNA
Rfam family: Bacterial small subunit ribosomal RNA
Source: RNAcentral
GGCUUAACACAUGCAAGUCGAGGGGUAUAGUUCUUCGGAAUUAGAGACCGGCGCACGGGUGCGUAACGCGUAUGCAAUCUACCUUUUACAGAGGGAUAGCCCAGAGAAAUUUGGAUUAAUACCUCAUAGCAUAGCAACUUCGCAUGAAGUCACUAUUAAAGUCACAACGGUAGAAGAUGAGCAUGCGUCCCAUUAGCUAGUUGGUAAGGUAACGGCUUACCAAGGCUACGAUGGGUAGGGGUCCUGAGAGGGAGAUCCCCCACACUGGUACUGAGACACGGACCAGACUCCUACGGGAGGCAGCAGUGAGGAAUAUUGGUCAAUGGACGCAAGUCUGAACCAGCCAUGCCGCGUGCAGGAUGACGGUCCUAUGGAUUGUUGACUGC